This 15487-nucleotide long non-coding RNA is filed under the name Ananas comosus (pineapple). Its description in RNAcentral is "long non-coding RNA (ACOM_LNC037651)". Lineage: Eukaryota; Viridiplantae; Streptophyta; Magnoliopsida; Poales; Bromeliaceae. The record is from RNAcentral.
UUUUGGACCAAAAUAGUCAUGCGCGUACUUCACGGCUUGAUGCCGUAUUGGCUGCAAUCACGGCCUCUAACGAUAAUAUUGCCCGAAUAGGGCAAUUAUUAACUCGUAAUCAGCAACCGCUAGCAGGCUUACAGGCGCCUGCGAUGGCACCGGUAUUACAAAACCCUGUAACACCGGUAAAUGUACAGCCCUAAUACCAGGGGGCACCAUAUCAGGCAGCCUAUAGAUCGGCUGUCGGUAAUACUGGUCUACAGCUAGAGAUAGCCUGGGGGUUACCACCACCUCCACCAGUAGCAGCAUACCAGCCUCAAAAUGUAGGGGCUAGGGGGUAGGCUCCAAUCAACUCUAACUCUUUAGAGUUAUCAUAAUACCCAAUCAUGAUACUUUCGCUCACAAGUCGAAUAGACCUCGUCUCUCACGAGCCUAUUUUCUAUAGUCCAACCGGCCUAAGGUUUGCUAGGUCCACUAAGACUCAACCCUAGACUCUGAUACCAAAUUAAUCUGUCACGCCCCGGGAUCCAGCGGAAGCCCGCGCGGCGCGUGCCCAGACCCGCCAUACGUCUAAAACAUAUAAGGCGUCUAAAAAAAAAUAAUAAUAAAGCGGUAAUACAAGACAACUAGGAGUAUCAGAGCAUGAUAUAAUAUUAAGUUCUACAAUAAAGAAAGGAGCAUAAAACUGGAAUCCACUAAUAAAAGUAUAAGGUAAUACAAAGGAAAUCCCAAAUACAAGUGCCAAAGGUAGAUACAUAGGUGGUCUCUAUACAUGGAUACAAAAUCUCUCACUCUCUCUCAACUACAAAAAGAAAGAGCAAACCACCUAGGCAAGAACCGCUCAUCGCUAGCUAGCUAUGCGAUCCUCUUGCCGUGAUCCCAUGCCUCCGCCGGUGCAGAAGGCUCUGAAAGAAAAUCAGAAAACGGGGGCGUGAGAACUAUUAAAAAUAGUUCCCAGUGGGCAAUUACUGACUUCAGUGAACUGCGCCACAAGGCCCAAAAGAUACGAAAAGAGGUCAGUGACUAACAAUGCAGUAAAGCAAAAGGUAAGUAAAAUGUUACUUACUAUGACAUAGAGUCUCUACUUGGCAUGAUUUGCGUAAAUAAUAAAGCAACGAUAUCAUGAAUGUACAUGGAUGUGUAUGACAUGCAUAAGCAUAGAAAUGCAACCAAUCCGAUGUCCUCGAUGCAAAAAUAGUAAAGAUGUCAUUGUUUACUAUUCUAGUCCAAGUCCACUUUAAUAGUUUUAAAGUUCACAUAACAUGUUCUGUCAUUAAGUCCCAAUCAUAUAAGACCCACCCGAAGGCUGUCUGGCCUGCGCCGUGCCUAAUGGCCCCGUGGUAGUCAACAUCCCCACUCUAGGGAUGAGCACCCCCACGGCAAUCCACUUCGGCGCCGAAUCCCGCACGGGCGAGCAUAUGUCGCGAUGGCUAUCUCCGGAGUGCCAGCUUGUAGGGAGCGACCCUCACAAGCAUGUGCGAAUGAGCACAAUGGCAAGCAAGCAAUGAUCUGUCUCAAGUACCAAGUCCUUAUGUCUAAAACAUGGAAUAUAUCAAGUAUCUUAAUAGCCUAUCUCUACAUCAUCAUGUCUCUAACAUGGAAUAUAGCAGAUGUACAAUGGCCUAUCAUCAUGUCUCUAAGUUGCAUUUUCAUAGUUUACUAAUUCUAAGUGCCCCUUUAUGACACUUUUGUUCAACGAGUCCCAAGUAUGGCAUUAAUAUAUUUUUGAUGCAUAGUUCACUCAAUUCUAGCAUGGAGACAUGUUCUAAACUUGCAAAACCAAGCACUAUCCACAAUGCAUGCAAUCUACACAUAUAACUCUACUAUAUGGAGUACAAAUUUUUCGAUACAUGAGGCAUGCAUGUUAAGUGUUCUAAAAUUCACAUAAAUCAUGUUUAGCAUGAAUUUGCAUUCAAGAAUACUUUACGAAAAGUUUAAAAGGCAUAGGGGCCAUUUUGCCCCAUUUUCAUGAAGUCAAACCCACCAAAAUCGACUUAUUCGUUUCGCCGAACGAAAGUAUCCACAAGCUUCCUAGUACUCUAGAAACAUCAAAAAUAGGGUCACCCAAACGAAACGAAGAGGAAAUAGCUCAAUCAUUAAGCUUCUCAAGCUAGGGUUGGAGAAAACUUACCGAUUGCGAAGGAGACUCUCACGAUCUCCAAAUGGGAGUUAGAGUCCUUCCAAUCUAACCUAAACAAAGGUUCUAAACCCAUCAAUUAGGUUUUAAAGCCCUCAAAUCAAAAAUCCCCAUUUCUAUCCCUCAAAUCAAAAAUUAACCUUCAAAACUUAAUCAAAAUGGGAGAUUAAGUUUACUAACCUCACAAGAUGCUCAAAACUAAGCUCCAAGUCCUCUAGGGUUGAAGGUUGAUCUCUAAACAAGCUCGAACCAAGAUCCCAAGCUUCUCCAAUGGUGGAAAAACCCACAAAAGCAAGAAGGAGAGAAGGGAAAGAGAUCAAAACCCAUAAAAACCACCAAAAAUGGAGAUCAAACCAAGAGGGGGAGACUCACCUUGUUUCUCUCUGUUUGGAGCUCAAGGAGAGCAGCCAAAGGGGCUGGGGUGGUAUAUAAAGGUGUUGUAACAAUUGCAAAAACACCCCUCCACGAAACAGCCCCAAUCUGCACUGUGUACCGGUACACGGGAUUGUGUACCGGUACACCACCCACGAAAACGCAAACCCGAGCCUCGGGUUUGGCCGAAAAGCCGUCUGUGUACCGGUACGCGGGCCCGUACCGGUACAGCCAUCAACCCCGUACCGGUACAGCCACCAAGCCCGUAUCGGUACACAGCCUGCUGUAGGCUAUCCGAGAGCUGACCAAAAAUCCAACUUUUUGGAUUUUGAUGCAAGGUUUUAAAGCACAAUUCUUGGGGCUCGAACCAUAGGUCGGAACACUGUCAACGACCCACCAGAAAGUCUGGAAAAGCUCAGAACACAAUCAAUCACUCGAACCCCGCAAUUUGCAAGGUCCAGUGUGUUACAUCACUACAACAUCAUAAAAGCGCAAGUUAAUAAAACCCACGCCAUCGCAACCGAGCUCAAAGAGAAUAAUAACCCAAAUCAUGCGAAAAUAAUGAAGUGUUCUUUACUACUAACGCCCGAUGUUACAUUGUCGGUCGCCAACGUAACCCUCCAUGAAGUUAGAAGAUAUACACUUCGAUUAAACUCCAACCUUUUAGAGUUUAUAUAAUACACAAUCAUGAUACUUUCGCUUAUAAGUCAAAUAGACUCCGUCUCUCAUGAGCCUAUUUUCUAUAGUCCAAUCGGCCUAAAGUUUGCUAGGUCCACUAAGACUCAACCCUGGACUCUGAUACCAAAAAUAAUCUGUCACGCCCUGGGACCCAACAGAAGCCCGCCCGGUGCGUGUCCAGACCCGUCAUAUGCCUACACAUAUAAGGCGUUUAGAGCAAUAGUAUACGAAAGCAAGGAAACAAAACAUCUAGAGAUAUUAGAGCAUAAAUAAAGCUAGAAUCUAACCACGAGAAAUAAGUAACUAGACUAGAAGAUCAUCAUUCCCAAAGUUAGAUAAAUACAUCAAGAACCAUAAAUAGCACUAGAUACAUAAGGUGGUAGUCUCUACAAAAGGGGUACAAAACUCUCAUUCUCUCCAACCAAAACAAAAGGAGAAAAUGAACCACCUAAAGCAAGACUCCUCGCUAGCUAUCACGAAGCGACACCCUUGCCGCGGUCCCAAGUCUCUCCCGGCAUGGAAGGCUCUGAAAUAAACAACAAACAGAGGGCGUGAGAACUAUUAAACAAUAGUUCCCAGUGGGCAAACCGCUGACCUCAGGAAAAAUACUCCACUACGCUAAAGAGGUAUACGAACUAUAAUAAACAACAUAUAAGGAAAUACAACAAUUAAUUUCGCUAAGUUAGGAUGUCGCAAAUUUAGCAUGAUAUGAACAUGAAAAGUUGCUAAUCUAUCAUAAUCGAUUAUAUCCAAGGAUACACUAGUAUGUUCUAAACAUGAUCAUCAUAAUUGUAAAUAUGCACCAAGUAUAGUCCAUCAAUAUACCACUAAGUCCAACUAGUGUAAUAAUAUGCCCAAACAAUACCUACUAUCAAGUAGUGAAUGUCACUUAGUUGUUACAUUGUCAUAUUCCAUUUCCAAUCUAGGACUUACACAAGUGUAGUCCAGCUUGUGCCGCUUAAUGGCCCCGGGUAGUCCAGCAUUUCUCUAGGAAUGUGACUGUCCCACGGUGACCCAGUAGGCCCUCAAUCCCGCACGGGCGAGCAUAAGUCGCGUAGGCCAACUCCGAAGUGCCGGCUUGUAGGGAGCGACCCUCACAAGCAUGUGCGAAUGAGCACAAAUGGCAAGCAAGCGUAAUCAUGAACUCAAGUACUCUGUCAUCAUGUCACAACAUGGUAUAACACUAGCAUCCCUAAAGGUCUAGUUCUAUGUCAUGAGGUAAAGGAUCAACCAUUUACUAUCUAAUGCCACUUUAUGACAUUAUAAAUUUACCAAGCCCAAACAUAUUCCAAGCUCAAUGCCCCUUUAUGACAUUGUAGCUCACUAAGUCCAUGCAUACCCCAAGUACAAUGCCACUUUAUGGCAUUAUAAUUCUACUAUAUUUAACAUAUGUCCAUUGUUCAUGAGCAACUAAUUGCAUGUCAUUCAUCUACAUAUAACAUGGUUCCAACACAUCAUGAGGAUUUUAUAUACUAGCAUGAGCAUUUUGCACCUAUUUCUCUACUACAUAGAGACGAAAUCUCAUGAUACAUAACAUAUGCAUUUUAAUCGUUCUAAAAUUCAUUUGUGCCCUAUCUAGUAUGAAUAUGCAUGAAUUUCUAUUUUACGACAAAAAAUAAAGUAUAGGGGGAGUUCACCCAUUUCGGUGAGGUCAAAUCCACCAAGAGCUCCUUGCAACUCUUUCGUUUGCGCGAACGAAGGUGUCCACGAGUCUUCUAGCUUCCUGAAGUAAUUUCUAAGAGAGUUAGACAAAGCAAACGAACACCCGAAGUGUUCAUCUCAAAUCAACCAAAGCAUAGGGCAAAACUCACCUAAAUGUGGAAAAAUCCUCUCAAAUUCCAAAUGGAAGCUAGAGCCCUUCAAAUCUACCCCAACGAGAUAUUCUACGCCUAUCAAAUAAGCACCAAGAGCUACAAAUCAAAAAUCCCCAAAAUAAAUCCUAGUUUUCUCAUUCUAGGGUUUCAACAUGAAAAAUCGACAAAAACAUGGAUUAAAUGAGGGAAACAUGAUACUAACCUCUUUAGAAGCUCCAAACAAGGUUAGAAAUCAACUAGGGUUGAAGAUCUCUCCUCCAACAAGCUUCAAUCCAAGCUCCAAGACUUCUCUCAUGGUGAAAAUAGCACCAAGAAGCAAAAAGAAGCAAAAGGAGAUGAUUAAACUUCAAAAGUUCCAACUAAAAUGGAAGAAAUCCAAAGAGGAGGUGAGGAGGGCUCCCUUACCUUUCUCUUCUGUGUUGCCAAGCUCAGGGAACCUCCAAGGGGCGUGGGGUAACAUAUAGUGUUGCUACAAAUGCAAAAACACCCCUAAAAAAAUGAGCAGUUCGCAGUCUGCACUGCGUACCGGUACACGGAAAAGAGUACUGGUACCAAGCAGUAGUUUGCGCCAACCCGAGCCUCGGGUUCGUAGAAAAAUACACUGGGUACCGGUACCAGCCCGAUGCUAUACCGGUACCACCUCCAAUUCAGGUACGGGCCCGAUGCUGUACCGGUACAGCUCUACAGAGUCCAACCCGAGAGCAGCCUAAAUAUUCAUUUUAGAGAUUUUAGUACUAAGUUGUAAACCUUGAUUCUCGGGAUGCGAGCCAUAGGUCGGAACACUGUCAACGACCCUCUAGAAUAUCUGAAAAAACUCGAAAUACAGAUUAAACACUCGAACCUUACAAUUUGCUAAAUUUCAGUGUGUUACAGGCCAAGUUCGCCUUCAGGUCCAGAAGAACCUUAAGCUCCACCACACUGUUGGGGUUGUAAGUCAUGGACAGAAUGGCACUAUGAGGGUGGAGACCAAGGAUCGCUGGGGGUUAGGUUGAAUGGCCCCACCCGAAAAAGAAAAGUUUUAGGAACUAGAGACCAAAACACAUAGAGCCGCACUAAUGAGGAAGUUGUCAGCUUGAGGAGUCCUCAAGAGUUGGAUAGUUUCGUAAAUCCAAACUUUGCGCCACAGAUUGGCGUAAGAACCCUCGACUCGGUCCAGCCAUGCUAGAUAUGUGUCAAAAACUUGGGCCAUGUAUGAAGGCUCUUUACCGACGACUUCAAUGCAGAUUAGGAAUGAAGGUAAAUAUAUAACAUCAUUCGUCAAGGAAAGCCUUCCCAUAGAGAAGGGAAAGACUUUGUCCUCAGUAGCCCUACAAAGAAAAGGCCGAGGAUGAAACAAGAAGGAUCGACCUUAAAUGGCUUAAGAAUACUAAAGCUAACAUUAGAAGAUGAGAGAAGAAGAGAAAUCCGAGCCAUUGAAAGGAAAAUAUCCUGGGAGAAGUGAAGAAGGAGAGUCGAAGAGGAGAAAUCGCGAAAAAAAAAGGAGAAAGGAGGUGUUGGAGUGUAACGCACUGGACCUUGCAAAUUGCGGGUUUCGAGUGAUUGAUUGUGUUCUGAGCUUUUCCAGACUUUCUGGUGGGUCGUUGACAGUAUUCCGACCUAUGGUUCGAGUCCCGAGAUGUCACGCCCGGGGGCUCAGCGGAAGCCUACCUGGCGAGUGUCCAGACCCGCCAUACGUCUAAAACAUAUAAGGCGUCUACAAAAAUUUCGAUAGAUAAAACAGUAAUACAAGAGAUCUAGUGAUAUCAGAGGAUUGUAUAACUAGUUCUAUAACAAGGAAAGGACACAAAGCUGAAAGUCCACUAAAUAAAAACAUAAAGUAAGUACAAUAGAGAUCCCAUAACAAGUGCUAAAAGGAGUACAAGGUGGUCUCUCUAUACAUGGUACAAAACCCCUCCCACUCUCACAAAAUAUAAAAUGAAGGGGUAACCACCUAGCGCAAAAGAACUCUCCGCGAGCUAGCUACGCGACACCCUUGCCGCGAUCCCGUGCCUCCGCCGGUGCCGAAGGCUCUGAAAAGGAAACAUAGAAACAGGGGCGUGAGAACUAUUAAAAAUAGUUCUCAGUGGGCAAUUACUGACUUCAGUGAAAUGCACCACUAGGCCCGAAACUAAAGAAAAAGGGUCAGUGUACAAACAACAAAAGCGAUAAAUACACUGUAAGUAAAUAAAUAAACGACUACCCAAUAGUUAUGAUACCUCUACUUAGCAUAAUUUACAUAAGUAAGGAAGCAACUACUAGCUAUAUGCACAUGAACACCGAACAUAUAAAGCAUGAUUAUGCAACUACCCAAAGCCCACAAUGUAAUAGUAAAGAUGUCAUUGUUUAUUAUUCUAGUCCAAGUCCACUUUAACAGUUAUAAGGUUCACAUAGCAUAUUCUGUCACCAAGUCCCAAUCAUAUAAGACCCACCCGAAGGCUGUCUGGCCUGCGCCGUGCCUAAUGGCCCCGUGGUAGUCAACAUCCCCACUCUAGGGAUGAGCCUCCCCCACGGCAAUCCACUUUGGCGCCCAAUCCUGCACGGGCGAGCAUAUGUCGCGAUGGCUAUCUCCGGAGUGCCGGCUUGUAGGGAGCGUCCCUCACAAGCAUGUGCGAAUGAGCACAAUGGCAAGCAAGCAAUGAUCCGUCUCAAGAACCAAGUCCUCAUGUCUAACAACAUGGAAUAUAUCAAGUAUCUCAAUAGCCUAUCUCUAUGUUAUCAUGUCUCUAACAUGGAAUGUAGCAGAUAUGUAGUGGCCUAUCAAUAUGUCUCUAUAUUGCAGUUUAAUAGUUUACUAGUUUCAAGUGCCCCUUGAUGACACUUUUGUUCAACAAGUUCCAAGCAUGGUAUUAAUAUGUUCAUGAUGCAUAAUUCACUCAACUCUAGCAUGGGGACAUGUUCUCAACUUGCAAAACCAAGCACUAUCCAUAAUGCAUGCAAUUUACACAUAUAGCUCUACUAUAUGGAGUACAAAUUUUACGAUAUAUGAGGCAUGCAUGUUAAGUGUUCUAAAAUUCACAUAAAUCAUAUUUAGCAUGAAUUUGCAUUCAAAAAUACUUUACGAAAGGUUUAGAAGGCAUAGGGGCCAUUUUGCCCUAUUUUCAUGAAGUCAAACCCACCGAUGACAACGAAACUCCUCGUUCGCUCCCACGAGGGUAUCCUCUAGUCUCCUAGUACCCUAGAGAUAUAGAAACAUGUGUCAUGUGAGCCAAACGAACAAUACCUAGCUCGAUCAUUAAGCUAAUCAAGCAUAGGUGAGGAAAACUCACCUCUAGUGCAAAAAUCUCCUCUAAAGCUCCAAAAGAGAGCUAGAGCCCUUCCCAACCAAAUGGAAGCCUCUAAUCCUCUCAAACUAGCUUCAAAAGCCCUAGAUUCAAAAUGCCCAAUUAAACCCUAAAAACCUCAUUCUAGGGUUUCAACACAAAGAAGCCAAUAAAAAUCUAAUCUAGAGGGAGAUAACAAGUUGCUUACCUCUUAGAAGCUUCAAACCAAGCUCUAAAUGCUCUAUGUCCAAAGAACUCACCUCAAACAAGCCUCAAACCCAAGCUCCUAGCUCCAACAUUGGGGGAGAAGUCUCUAGCCAAGCAAAAAGGGAGUUUAAUCUCUUAAAACCCCAACCAAAAUCAAAGAAAUCACAAAGGAAGGUGUGGAGGGCUUCCUCACCUUUCUCCCUGCAGGUUCCAAGCUCAGGGGAUGCCCUAGGGGUGUGGGGUUACUAAUAGAAGGCUACAAACGCGAAAAACCCCCUGCAGUUCCAUUCUGCGCAAAACUGCCUCCUUGUACCGGUACACGGGCUCUUGUACCGGUACAAGGCGACGAAAUUGCAAACUCGAGGCUCGGGUUGCGGGGUCUGCGGCUCUGUACCGGUACAAGCCCGAUGGCUGUACCGGUACAACCAUCAACCUUGUACCGGUAUAAGACCAGCCUUGUUCCGGUACAAGCUCUGCUGCAGGCUAACCCGAGAGCUGUCCAAUGAAUCCAAUUUUUGGAUUUUGGUACCAAGCUUUAAACCACAAUUCUCGGGACUCGAACCAUAGGUCGGAACACUGUCAACGACCGACCAGAAAGUCUAGAAAAGUUCAGAACACCGUCAAUAACUCGAACCCCACAAUUUGCGAGGUCCAGUGCGUCACACGAGAAUUGUGGUUUAAAGCUGUGUACCAAAAUCUAAAAAGUUGGAUUUUUGGUUAGCCCUCGGGUAGCCUUCAGCAGGCUGUGUACCGGUACGGGCUUGGUGGCUGUACCGGUACGGGGUUGAUGGCUGUACCGGUACGGGCCCGCGUACUGGUAAACAGACGGCUUUUCGUCCAAACCCGAGGCUCGGGUUUGCGUUUUCGUGGGUGGUAUACCGGUACACAAUCCCGUGUACCGGUACACAGUGCAGAUUGGGGCUGUUUCGUGGAGGGGUGUUUUUGCAAUUGUUGCAACACCUAUAUAAGUGACCCCAGCCCCCUUAGGCUGGGUUUUGAGCCCUAGUUCUGUGGAGACAAGGUGAGACUCUCCCCCUUUGAGUUUUCUCUCCAUUUUUGAUGGAUUUUGGUAGGUUUUGAUCUCUCCUCUCCUCUCCACCUUGCUUUUUGUUGCGUUUCCUCCAUUGUUGAAGGCUUGGAGCUUGGAGAGGAGCUUGUUUGAGAGGAGAUCUUCAACUCCACUUGGCAUGGAGCUUGGUUUGGGACAUCUUGUGAGGUGAGUACUCAUGAUCUCUCCUUUAGAGCUUGUUUUGGUAGUUUUCCUCUUUGGAAACCCUAGAUUUUGGAUUCAAGGGCUAGGAUUAGGGAUUUUUGAUUUGAGGGCUUUGGAACCAAAUUGAUGGGUUUAGAACCUUUGUUUAUGUUUGAUUGGAAGGACUCUAGCUCCCAUUUGGAGAUUGAGGGAGCUUCCUUCGCAAUCGGUGAGUUUUCUUCAACCCUAGCCCGAUUUGGUUAAUGAUUGAGCAAUCCGUUGUUCGUUUCGUUUGGGUAACACUUGUUCCUACAUCCUUAGGGUACUAGGAGGCUAGUGGACACUUUCGUUCGGCGAAACGAAAAGUUCGAAAAAUCAGUAGGUUUGACUUCGUGGAAAAAGGGGCAAAAUGGCCCCUAUGCUCUCUAUACUUGUUGUAAAGUAUUUUUAAAUGCAUUUCUAUGCUAAUUGGAAUUUAUGUGAAGUUUAGAACACUUAAAAUGCAUGUCUUAUGUGUAAGUUAAAUUUCACUCUAUAUAGUAGAGUAAUCAGGGUUAUUUGCAUGCAUGUGAGGGGUGUUCAGGUGGACGAACGGGAUUCUCGUCUAGUAUACUAAUUUAGCUCAUACUCGUGUAUUGAAAACAUUAUACUAUGUUUGGACUUAGUAGCACAAGUGUCAUCAAGAGGCACUUAAACUAGUAAACUAUGAAACUGCAACAUAGAGACAUAACGCUAGGCCAUUGUACAUCUGCUAUAUUCCAUGUUAGAGACAUGAUGUCAUAGAGAUAGGCCUUUGGGACAUUCGAUACAUUCCAUGUUAUUAGACAUGAGGACUUGAUACUUAUGACAGGACAUAUGACUACUUGCCAUUGUGCUCAUUCGCACAUGCUUGUGAGGGUCGCUCCCUACAAGCCGGCACUCCGGAGAUAGCCAUCGCGAUUCGUAUUCGCCGUGCGGGAUUGGGCGCCGAAAUGGAUUGCCGUGGGCCAGGCUCAUUCCUAGGGUGGGGAUGAUGACUACCACGGGGCCAUUAGGCUCGGCAUCGGCCAGACAGCCUACGGGUGGGUCUCAGGGCCAUAGACAGCCUUCGGGUGGAUCUCUUCAGAAUUGACUUUGAGUGUUCACUACGACAUGUGGACGGAUGAUGACUUAGUAUAUGGACUAGAACAGUAAACAAAGACAUCUUCACUAUUUACUUGAGGACAUUGUAUGGGUUGCAUAUUUAUGCUUAUUUAUGUUAUACACAUCCAUGUACAUUCAUGUUAUAGUUGAUUUAUUACUUAUGCAAAUCAUGCUAAGUAGAGACAUUAUGCUAUAAUGAGUUACAUUUUUACUUACCUUCUUCCUUACUACAUUCUGUCACUGACCACUUUCCUUGUAGCUUUGGGCCUUGUGGUGCAUUCACUGAAGUCAGUAAUUGCCCACUGGGAACUAUUUUUAAUAGUUCUCACGCCCUCUUUUCGUGGUUUCUUUCAGAGCCUUCUGCAUCGGCGGAGGCACGGGAUCGCGGCAAGGGGAUCGCAUAGCUAGCUAGCGAGGAGCGGUUAUUUGCCUAGGUGGUUACUCUUUCUUUUUAUAGUUGUGAGAGUGAGAGUUUUUGUAUCCAUGUAUAGAGACCACCUAUGUAUCUACUCUUAGCACUUGUAUUUGGGAUUUUCUUUGUAUUACUUUAUGCUUUUAUUAGUGGAUUACAGCUUGUGUUCCUUUCUCUAUUGUAGAACUUAACAUUAUAUCAUGCUCUGAUACUCCUAGAUGUCUUUUAAUUCUGCUUUUAUUAUCGUUGCUUUUAGACGCCUUAUAUGUUUUAGACAUAUGGCGGGUCUGGGCACGUGCCGGGCGGGCUUCCGCUGGGUCCCGGGGCGUGACAGAUUAAUUUGGUAUCAGAGCCUAGGGUUGAGUCUUAGGGGACCUAGGAAAUCUUAGGCCGGUUGGACUAUAGGAAAUAGGCUCGUGAGAGACGAGGUCUAUUUGAUUUGCGAAGCAAAAGUACCAUGAUUGGGUAUCUUGAUAACUCUAAAAAGUUAGAGUUGGAUCGAAGUGUAUGGCUUCUAACUUCGCGCAGGGUUACGUUGGCGGCCGACAACGUAACUUCGGGAGUUAGUAGUGUAGAACACUUCUUUACUUUCGCAGGAUUUGGGUAUUGUUUAUUGAGCGGGGAUGCGAUAGCGCGGGUUUUACUAACUUGCGCUUUCAUGUUUUGUAGUGACGAUGCCGAUUACACGCUCUCAAUCUGCCGUAGCGGACAAUGCGGCGAACUUUGAGGAGGUCGAGACCUCCGCUACCUCCGGAUCCAGCGAGGUCCGUGAGUUGAGGGGCCAGCUUGCGGCCCUCACUGAUUUACUCACUCAGCAGGCGGAGGCGGCCCGACAGCAGACUGAGGCGCCGCGCCGACAGGAGGCGCGGAUGAAGCGCCUGGAGGACCUUUUACUGCAACAGGCAGUAGCUUCUAGGGAGACUCUGGCCCCUACACCGCCAGCACCAGUUGUGGACGUCGCACCGAGAGCGCCGUCCUCCGCGCCCAGUUCUUCGCGUGCAGCGCCUGCGGCCGCGCCCCGGGAGGAGGUUUUGGCGCCACCACCUGUGCAGAGGCCCCUGGUUGGAGCUGCAUUCCCUACCUUGGUUGAGGGGGCGGAGCGAGACAGACUGAUGGAGCGCCUCAAUGAGUUCAGGAGGUGCAGUCCCCGAGUCUUCGACGGCGAGAAGGUCGACCACUGGAUCGUGGAGAAGUGGUUGAUGCAUACGGAGAAGCUCUUCCGCGACACCUUCGUGGAGGAGAGGGAUCGAGUUUGGCUCGCCACUCACCACUUGGACGGCGAGGCCUACCGCUGUUGGUUGGAUCUUCAGGAGUACCCCAGCACUGACUUGGCGGCUAUCACUUGGACGAGGUUCAAGGAGCUUCUUUUGGCCCAUUACUUUUCGACCAACGUCAAGCGAAAGAUGGAGCAAGAUCUGCGCAACUUGCGCCAGGGCGACCAGACUGUGGCCGAGUACGAGCGGGAGUUUUCUCGGCUUUUGCAUUGCGUGCCUUUCGUCGUGCGGGACGACGAGGACAAGGCCCGCAUUUUCGAGCGAGGACUGAGGCCGUCCAUCUUUCGGUUCGUGCAAUCCUCUAACCUCCAAACCUACCGGGAGGUGGUGGAUCGCGCGCUCAUUGUAGAGAGCGGCGCGGCGGAUGUCCAGGAGCAGCGAGAGGCUAGGGACAGGGGCAAGGCCAAGAGGCCUGCGGCUGAGGGUGUGAGCCAGACGCACUCUAGGAGGCCACCGAAACUUCCGAGGAGCCAGCAGCGUGGAUGCGGCUCAGCAGCGCAUCGAGGAGGAUCCGAUCGUCGCCGGCCUUCCCCGUGUGUGAUCUGCGGUGGUCCUCAUUACCCGCCGCAGUGUCCAUAGUGGGCGGGCAGGUGCUUCCUGUGUGGCUAGGAGGGCCACGUCUGUACUGAGUGCCCGAGAGGUUCUUCACCGGCACCGUCGACUGCAUCGGCACCGGCUCUACCAGCCGUCAACCACGGGACUCCGUCGACACAGUACCAGCCUGGGCGGCCACCCGUCGAGCGCCAGAGCGAGGGAUCCCGAUAGGCCCCGAGUGGGCGCAUGUACGCCGCUCAGACCAAGGAGGCGGCAGCAGCCGAGGAUGUGGUUGCAGGUAUCAUUUUACUUGAUAGCAUUAGAGUUUGUGCUUUAUUUGAUACCGGUGCAUCGCAUUCAUUUAUAGAUCGGCUGUUUGCUGAGUUGCAUGACAUUCCAUUGGUUUCUUAAUUGCAUCCGGGACACUUUGUUGUACCCGACCAUAUUUUGGAUAUUAGAGAGUAUACCCCCAGUUGCCCUGUUCGGGUGGGAGAUUUGAUCAUACCUGUAGAUUUGCUAGCUUUGCGCAAGCUUGGGGAUUUUGAUGUGGUCUUGGGAAUGGAUUGGUUAACCAAGUAUUAUGCCACGAUUGAUUGCAAAAAUCGCACGGUUACUUUUAGAGAACCGGGGCAGACCGAGGUAGUAUUUAGUGGAUGCCGGAGUUCGCUGUUUGCGAUGACGAUCAGCUCGUCUCGAGCUAGGCAGUUGAUCAGCAGAGGUUGUGUAGCCUAUUUGGCUAGUGUUGUGCUGAGGGGCGAGGAUGACACCCCUAGGAUCGAGGAUAUUCCUGUGGUGCGGGAGUUCCAGGAUGUGUUACCAGCUGAGCUACCGGGCAUGCCUCCUGAUAGGGAGAUUGAGUUUGUGGUAGAUCUCGUCCCUGGGACUACCCCAAUCUCAAAGGCACCCUAUAAGAUGGCACCGGCAGAGCUGAGGGAGCUGAGGGCAUAGCUGCAGGAUUUGUUGGACAAAGGCUUCAUACGGCCGAGCGUUUCGCCUUGGGGAGCACCAGUUUUGUUCGUCAAGAAGAAUGACAGAUCACUUCGCCUUUCGUGGAUUAUCGUGAACUGAAUAAGGUCACGAUCAAGAACAAGUAUCCGUUGCCGAGGAUCGACGACUUGUUUGAUCAGCUUCAGGGAUCGUGUGUGUAUUCCAAGAUAGACUUGCAGUCGGGAUACCACCAAUUGAGAAUCAAGCCCGAGGAUGUAUCGAAGACGGCUUUUAGAACACGGUAUGGACAUUACGAGUUCACAGUUAUGCCGUUUGGGCUGACUAAUGGCCCGGCAGCUUUUAUGGAUCUAAUGAACCAUGUUUUCAAGCCUUAUCACGACAGGUUCAUCGUGGUAUUCAUCGACGACAUUUUGGUCUAUUUCCGAAGUGAUGCAGAUCACGAGGAGCAUUUGAGGCUUGUACUCCAAGUACUUCGGGGAAAGGAGCUUUUUGCCAAGCUGAAAAAGUGUGAAUUUUGGCUUCGAGAGGUAGCCUUCCUUAGAUAUUUGAUAUCGGGAUCAGGUAUUGCUGUGGAUCCCAAGAAGAUUGAGGCUAUCCGGGAUUGACCGAGACCGACUAGCGUCACGGAGAUUCGGAGUUUUCUUGGACUGGCCGGCUACUACCGGAGAUUUGUCGAGGGGUUUGCUAAGUUAUCUACUCCCCUCACGAGGCUCACGCAUAAAGGAGUCAAGUUCAUUUGGAAUGAUGCGUGUGAGAGAAGCUUCCAAGAGUUGAAGCAACGUUUGACGACUGCCCCGAUCUUGACCUUACCAGUAGCUGGAGCAGGGUAUGUGGUAUAUAGUGAUGCUUCACUUAAUGGUUUGGGAUGUGUGUUGAUGCAGGAUGGCAGGUGAUCGCGUAUGCUUCUCGCCAACUGAAGGAAUAUGAAAGGAACUACCCGACGCAUGAUUUGGAGCUGGCAGCCGUAGUGUUCUGUCACGACCCGGGACCCAGCGGAAGCCCGCCCGGCGCGUGCCCAGACCCGCCAUAUGUCUUCAACAUAUAAGGCGUCUAAAAACAACAAUAAUAAAAGCAAUAAUAAAAGACAUCUAGGAGUAUCAGAGCAUAAUAAAUGUCUAAAUGCUACAACAAAGGAUGAGGAAAAGCUGUAAAUCCACUAAAUAAGGCAUAAAGUAAAUACAAUAGGAAAUCCCAAAUACAAGUGCUAAGAGUAGAUACAUAGGUGGUCUCUAUACAGGGUACAAAACUCUCACUCUCUCAACUACAAAAGAAAGAGUAAACCACCUAGGCAAGUAAGCUCCUCGCUAGCUAGCUACGCGAUCCCCUUGCCGCGAUCCCGUGCCUCCGCCGGUGCCGAAGGCUCUGAAAAGGAAACCAUAAAACAGGGGCGUGAGAACUAUCAAAAAUAGUUCCCAGUGGGCAAUUACUGACUUCAGUGAAUGCACCACAAGGCCCAAAGCUACAAAAGAGGUUAGUGACUAUAGAUGUAGAAAAGCGAAAGGUAAGUAAAAUGUAACUUACUACAACAUGAUAUCUCUACUUAGCCUAAAUAGCAUAAGUAUGAAAC